CCCUUAGAUGUUCUGGGCCGCACGCGCGCUACACUGAUGAAUUCAACGAGCACUAACCUGUGUAGAAAUGUUCGGGUAAUCUUGUGAAAUUUCAUCGUGAUGGGGAUUGAUUAUUGCAAUUAUUAAUCAUAAACGAGGAAUGCCUAGUAAGCGUGAGUCAUCAGCUCACGUUGAUUACGUCCCUGCCCUUUGUACACACCGCCCGUCGCUCCUACCGAUUGAAUGUGCUGGUGAAAAGUUCGGAUUGGGAAUAGGAGACGGCAACGUAUCCUGUUUCUGAGAAAAUCUUUAAACCCUCCCAUUUAGAGGAAGGAGAAGUCGUAACA
This 326-nucleotide ribosomal RNA is filed under the name uncultured eukaryote. RNAcentral describes it as "partial 18S ribosomal RNA". It matches the Rfam family "Eukaryotic small subunit ribosomal RNA", at positions 1470 to 1796 of the family's 1831-position model. The record is from RNAcentral.